Molecule: ribosomal RNA, 61 nt
Filed under: Roseburia sp. CAG:10041_57
Lineage: Bacteria; Bacillati; Bacillota; Clostridia; Lachnospirales; Lachnospiraceae
Also listed under: 1 other name
Description: partial 23S ribosomal RNA
Source: RNAcentral
CAUGGGUGUAAGUGCAGAGAUGCACUGAGCUGAAUGUCACUAAUAGGUCGAGGGCUUAUCC